Molecule: ribosomal RNA, 562 nt
Filed under: denitrifying bacterium N(A1)
Lineage: Bacteria
Description: bacterial SSU rRNA
Rfam family: Bacterial small subunit ribosomal RNA
Source: RNAcentral
AGUAGGGAAUCUUCCACAAUGGACGAAAGUCUGAUGGAGCAACGCCGCGUGAGCGAUGAAGGCCUUCGGGUCGUAAAGCUCUGUUGUUAGGGAAGAACAAGUACCGGAGUAACUGCCGGUACCUUGACGGUACCUAACCAGAAAGCCACGGCUAACUACGUGCCAGCAGCCGCGGUAAUACGUAGGUGGCAAGCGUUGUCCGGAAUUAUUGGGCGUAAAGCGCGCGCAGGCGGUCCUUUAAGUCUGAUGUGAAAGCCCACGGCUCAACCGUGGAGGGUCAUUGGAAACUGGGGGACUUGAGUGCAGAAGAGGAAAGCGGAAUUCCACGUGUAGCGGUGAAAUGCGUAGAGAUGUGGAGGAACACCAGUGGCGAAGGCGGCUUUCUGGUCUGUAACUGACGCUGAGGCGCGAAAGCGUGGGGAGCAAACAGGAUUAGAUACCCUGGUAGUCCACGCCGUAAACGAUGAGUGCUAAGUGUUAGGGGGUUUCCGCCCCUUAGUGCUGCAGCUAACGCAUUAAGCACUCCGCCUGGGGAGUACGGCCGCAAGGCUGAAACUCAAAG